RNAcentral lists this ribosomal RNA (501 nucleotides) under uncultured bacterium. Its description in RNAcentral is "partial 16S ribosomal RNA". It matches the Rfam family "Bacterial small subunit ribosomal RNA", at positions 29 to 523 of the family's 1533-position model. The record is from RNAcentral.
AACGAACGUUAGCGGCGCGCCUAAGACAUGCAAGUCGAGCGAGAAAGGGAUUCGUCCCCGGUAAAGCGGCGCACGGGUGAGUAACACGUAGGUCAUCAACCCUCGAGUGGUGGAUAACUCUCCGAAAGGAGAGCUAAUACAGCAUGAUGCUAGCAAUAGCCAAAGCGGGCCUCUUCAUGAAAGCUCGCGCUAGAGGAUGAGCCUGCGGCCCAUCAGGUAGUUGGCGGAGUAACAGCCCACCAAGCCAAGGACGGGUAGCUGGUCUGAGAGGAGGAACAGCCACACUAGAACUGAGACACGGUCCAGACUCCUACGGGAGGCAGCAGUCGGGAAUCUUCCGCAAUGGGCGAAAGCCUGACGGAGCGACGCCGCGUGAGUGAUGAAGGCCUUCGGGUUGUAAAGCUCUGUGGGGAGAGAAGAAUAAGUGCAGGCUAAUACUCUGCAUGAUGACGGUAUCUCCUUAGCAAGCACCGGCUAACUCUGUGCCAGCCGCCGCCGUAA